RNAcentral lists this ribosomal RNA (253 nucleotides) under uncultured bacterium. RNAcentral's name for it is "partial 16S ribosomal RNA". It matches the Rfam family "Bacterial small subunit ribosomal RNA", at positions 524 to 776 of the family's 1533-position model. The record is from RNAcentral.
UACGAAAGGGGCUAGCGUUGUUCGGAAUUACUGGGCGUAAAGCGCACGUAGGCGGCCUUGUAAGAUGGGGGUGAGAUCCCCGGGCUCAACCCGGGAACUGCCUUCAUGACUGCAAAGCUUGAGGAUGUGAGAGGUUGGCGGAAUUCCGAGUGUAGAGGUGAAAUUCGUAGAUAUUCGGAAGAACACCAGUGGCGCAGGCGGCCAACUGGCACAUUUCUGACGCUGAGGUGCGAAAGCUUGGGGAGCAAACAGG